UGCCAGCCGCCGCGGUAAGACGGAGGGUGCAAGCGUUGUUCGGAAUUACUGGGCGUAAAGCGCAGGCAGGCGGUUCGUUAAGUCGUUUGUGAAAACCCGGGGCUCAACCCCGUGGAAUGCAGACGAUACCGGCGAACUGGAGACCAGUAGAGGCUAGCGGGAUUCCUGGUGUAGCGGUGGAAUGCGUAGAUAUCAGGAAGAACACCUGUGGCGAAGGCGGCUAGCUGGGCUGGAUCUGACGCUGACCUGCGAAAGCGUGGGGAGCAAACAGGAUUAGAUA
This 280-nucleotide ribosomal RNA is filed under the name uncultured bacterium. RNAcentral describes it as "partial 16S ribosomal RNA". It matches the Rfam family "Bacterial small subunit ribosomal RNA", at positions 506 to 784 of the family's 1533-position model. The record is from RNAcentral.